Molecule: ribosomal RNA, 463 nt
Filed under: uncultured bacterium
Lineage: Bacteria
Description: partial 16S ribosomal RNA
Rfam family: Bacterial small subunit ribosomal RNA
Source: RNAcentral
GAUGAACGCUGACAGAAUGCUUAACACAUGCAAGUCUUUGGUGAAGCUGUGCUUGCACAGCCUAGCCAAGGCGGACGGGUGAGUAACGCGUAAGGAACUUGCCCCGCAGUCAGGGAUAACAGACGGAAACGACUGAUAAGACCUGGUAAAGUCAGGCGGACUCAUGUCCAGCCUGAUGAAAAGAGAUGCUGCAGGAGAGCCUUGCGUCCUAUUAGCUUGUUGGUGGGGUAACGGCCCACCAAGGCAAUGAUAGGUAGCCGGCCUGAGAGGGUGGACGGCCACAAGGGGACUGAGAUACGGCCCUUACUCCUACGGGAGGCAGCAGUGGGGAAUAUUGGACAAUGGGGGCAACCCUGAUCCAGCAAUUCUGUGUGCACGAUGAAGGUUUUCGGAUUGUAAAGUGCUUUCAGCAGGGAAGAAAAAAAUGACGGUACCUGCAGAAGAAGCGACGGCUAAAUACGUG